GUCACUCUCACUCACCCUCACCUCACCUCACCUCACCUCAGACCUAAAUCCCGAUCUCUCUCUCGGUCUCUCCUCGCCGAUUUGUCUCUCCUCCCACAUCCGUCGCCUGAAUCCCGAAUCUACCCGCACGGCCACACCAGUCCUCAUUCCUCUGGGUCCUCACUCCUCACCUGAAUCGCGCCUUCACCCACUGUCCUCCAUACCAAUCCUCAGUCCGCACUCCUCCUCAUUGCAAAAGGUAAGAAAUUCCUGCAAUAAACUCACCCAAAGUUCAUACAAAUUGUUUGAUUCCAAAUUUGAUUAGAGAUUUUAAAUUUGGGUUUCUGAAAUUAGGGUUUCUGAAUUAGGGAUUUUGAAUCGACGGAGAGGUUAGGAACCCGCUACUUUCUGAUCUAUAUCGCUAUUGUGUAUAUGUGAUUCUGUAUAGUCUUCUGGCAGGUUGAAUGAUAUAUCUCUAUGAUUUUGUCAAAUCUGUUUUCCAGGUGCUAAACAAAGAACAUGAGAAAGCUGAGGAUGCAAAGCCAGCAACUGCCUCGUCUGUCGCUGGAAACUGAAAACCAUGAUUUGCUGGUGGCUAGGGUUUCAACCGUUGUGACACUGCCUUAACUUUUGUUGUGGAGCCAAUUCGAUCUGCUACUUUUGAGGCGUUUAUUCAAAAUUUUGUACUCUCAAGAUUGACAAGAUUUGCAGGUUGAGAUAUUUCUGCCAUUGAUUUGUUAUACUAUGUCAGGAACAGUUUAAGCAUCUCGUAACAUAUGCUUAAGUACACUAUACGAGUAGACUGUUGAUGCAUUUCUCCGAUUGACAAGCAUUCAUCUUUAAUCAUGUAUCUAGCUAGAUUGCUUAAAAAAUGGAACGAUCUCCUUUGCAAGUAAGUGUGCCAUUUCAUGAUUGAAGAUCAAACUGUUUGAGCUCCAUGUUGUGGAUUCUUGUAAAAUGUAUAGAGUUGAUUAGAUCCAUAGAAGAAUCUAGAGUUUUUCAAAGCUUUCACAAACAUGAUUAAUAUCACAGUUUCAUUCAAUAAAUUGGGAUGUGAAUGAAUGAUUAUGCUUUUGUUAUGACUUAGGUUUUUCCAUCAAAUCAACCCACCAAAUGUUUAGCUUUUUAUGAAUCAAACCUCCAUGUUUAGAUUUAGUUCGUGACCCUCCCCAUUUGUAUGUAAUCUGUAUGCAG
RNAcentral lists this long non-coding RNA (1173 nucleotides) under Malus domestica (apple). Its description in RNAcentral is "long non-coding RNA (MDOM_LNC007394)". The record is from RNAcentral. Lineage: Eukaryota; Viridiplantae; Streptophyta; Magnoliopsida; Rosales; Rosaceae.